GUUACUUUCUCGCAGUUCCAGCCGGAUCCAAUAGAUGGCAACGUGGAUUGUAGACAAAGAACACACACCACUGUGCGACAACGGACAGAUAUGAAAAUUAGUUGUACCUUUUCACAGCUACGUGGCGAUAGUGUUUCGAGAUCUAUAAAUCGAUCAAAUUUUUAUUUCGAUGAAAGGAAUAUAGGUUGGAUAAAACAGGAAGAAAGGCAAAAAGAAAUGUCUCAUCCAUCCAAGAGUGCUGAAUUAGAACCUGGUUCUGUCAGAGCCAAGACAUGGUAGAGGACACAUCAGUAAAGCUACCUUUUUAAAUACAAUUAAAGUUACUAUCAGCUUAACCCCUUAACCUACGAUUUACAUUCGAGAAUUUUGGGUCGAAAACGUAAACAAGCUCGCGCAGCCUUCGAGCCAUUCGCACGACUUGUGUAGUACGUACUACGGGCUAUGCCCGUAAUAUUUACGUUUGAUCCGAUCAUCUGCUACGGACUAUGCCCGUAAUAUUUACGUUUGGCCCGAUCAUCGUACUACGGGUUAUACCCGUAGUUGUAGGUUAAGAGGUUAAUAAAUGUUUAUUAUGAGAAUUGUAUUUAUUUUAUGAUAAUAAUAAAAAGCGGGCAAAACUUGUAACAUGUCAAUUUAUUACAAACAAAGUCAAUACAUUAUUAUGUACAACUACUCUGACACAUUUAAUAUAUAUGUACAUUAUGUAUAAAUAAUAUGCACACACAUUCAUGACUCACAUUCUUAUAUAUCAUCAAUACGAAAGCUCCUUCUUCUUUUGUUUGAAUAUGUAAAUGUAAACAAUGCUCUCAUUUCUAAAUGAUUGAUAAAAAUAAAAUACAAAGAAAAUAUGUAUUACAUUACAUUUUAAUUAAAGGAUACAUGCACAGCCUAAAACAAGAAGCAAUUCAAUGUAUUCUAUCACCAUGGAAAAUAUUAUAUUUGCUAUGUAAUACCUGGUAAUGUCCACUGGAACUAAAUCCCCUUUAGAACUUUAAGUUACAAAGCUUUGGUCUAAAUCCUCCAUGUAAAUAUUUAGUUUCAGCUUUUACAUAAAAAUAACACCUCUUAUAACAUUUACAUAACUUGCAAUGUAUGCAACAUUACUUAAUAUCUAGCAGCAUGUCCUAUAUGUUUAGAAUAGAUCAUAUUUUAAUAGUAAAGAAUUAAAAGUUAAAAUGAAAAUUAUCAUUUUAUCAAAAAACAUUACAAGAUAUAUACUAUUGUAAUUUAAUAUAAAAAAAAUUGAAUACCUUUAGAUUAAAAAAACUUAAUAAAAUG
Molecule: unclassified non-coding RNA, 1278 nt
Filed under: Bombus terrestris (buff-tailed bumblebee)
Lineage: Eukaryota; Metazoa; Arthropoda; Insecta; Hymenoptera; Apidae
Description: misc RNA ENSBTSG00005028151.1
Source: RNAcentral